This 696-nucleotide unclassified non-coding RNA is filed under the name Hevea brasiliensis (rubber tree). The record is from RNAcentral. Lineage: Eukaryota; Viridiplantae; Streptophyta; Magnoliopsida; Malpighiales; Euphorbiaceae.
AAAUGGUAGAAAUUCUGGGAUCUAAUCUGCCAGACUUUUCAAAGAAUGAUUUGAGCAAGUUGAGUUAUGGCCUAGAUUUCAUUGGCAUCAAUUACUAUACGGCUAAAUAUAUCAAAGAUUGCUUAUAUUCUGCCUGUGAACAUGGAAACACUUGGUCAGAGGGUUCCUUUUUUGAGACGAGAGAAAAAGACGGUGUCUACAUUGGUCAACCUACUGAAGUGGACUGGCUCUUUCUGUACCCACAAGGGAUGAAAAAAAUUGUGAUGUACAUGAAGGACAGAUUCAACAAUACUCCUAUGGUUAUCACCGAAAAUGGCAUUGCUGAGAAUGAUAAUCUGAAUCCUUCAAUAACAGACACCUUGAACGAUAUUCAUAGAGUGAACUAUAUGCAUAGCUACUUAAAUUCAUUGGCAAAUGCAAUCACGGAUGGUGCAGAUGUGAGAGGGUACUUUGUUUGGUCCCUUCUCGACAACUUUGAGUGGCUAGAUGGAUAUAAGUUAAGAUUUGGACUUCACUAUGUCAACUAUACUAAUCUUCAGAGAACCCCAAAAUUAUCAGCUACCAUGUAUAAACAGCUCAUGUAUAACUUCAACAUACAACUCGAAAAAAAUACUGCCCAGAACUAGUAGGAGAAGAUGAUGGAAAGUAAAUAUUAUUUUCACUCCAGUGGGACUGUAAUCAUUUAAACAAGAUUUG